UAGCUCAGUUGGGAGAGCGUCAGACUGAAGAUCUGAAGGUUUCUGGUUCAAUCCGGA
RNAcentral lists this transfer RNA (57 nucleotides) under Nematostella vectensis (starlet sea anemone). It matches the Rfam family "tRNA", at positions 8 to 63 of the family's 71-position model. Rfam says of the family: Transfer RNA (tRNA) molecules are approximately 80 nucleotides in length. Their secondary structure includes four short double-helical elements and three loops (D, anti-codon, and T loops). Lineage: Eukaryota; Metazoa; Cnidaria; Anthozoa; Actiniaria; Edwardsiidae. The record is from Rfam by way of RNAcentral.